RNAcentral lists this ribosomal RNA (429 nucleotides) under Actinomycetes bacterium. Its description in RNAcentral is "Actinobacteria bacterium partial 16S ribosomal RNA". It matches the Rfam family "Bacterial small subunit ribosomal RNA", at positions 355 to 776 of the family's 1533-position model. The record is from RNAcentral. Lineage: Bacteria; Bacillati; Actinomycetota; Actinomycetes.
UAGGGAAUCUUCCGCAAUGGGCGAAAGCCUGACGGAGCAACGCCGCGUGAGUGAUGAAGGUCUUCGGAUCGUAAAACUCUGUUAUUAGGGAAGAACAAAUGUGUAAGUAACUAUGCACGUCUUGACGGUACCUAAUCAGAAAGCCACGGCUAACUACGUGCCAGCAGCCGCGGUAAUACGUAGGUGGCAAGCGUUAUCCGGAAUUAUUGGGCGUAAAGCGCGCGUAGGCGGUUUUUUAAGUCUGAUGUGAAAGCCCACGGCUCAACCGUGGAGGGUCAUUUGAAACUGGAAAACUUGAGUGCAGAAGAGGAAAGUGGAAUUCCAUGUGUAGCGGUGAAAUGCGCAGAGAUAUGGAGGAACACCAGUGGCGAAGGCGACUUUCUGGUCUGUAACUGACGCUGAUGUGCGCAAGCGUGGGGAUCAAACAGG